GUGUGAAGACAUGAUAUAUGGAGAUGCACCAGCCAUUUUAUAAUCGCAGAAACAAACCUGAAAGUGAAGGCCAACACACCCAGGAUGAUGUCCCAGCAGAGAGAUGAUGAGAACACCAGGUCCUUGAUGACUUCAUUUUAGUUCUGGACCUCUUGUUAACCAACCCCUAGCCUCCCGAGGAUCCCUAACUGAAGUGUUAACCUGUUGUGGAAGGGCGCUUCCAAAGAUGGCUGCCAGCAAUUCCUCCUCUCACCCUAUGCAUGUGCCACACCUACCAUACAAGGUACUCCCAUGGAAAAUUUUUAAAAAGGACUGAAGUGGUAAAACACACAUUACUGCAAAUGCUCUGUUCUGUAUUUAAGGAAUCCACCACUACAGAUGCCCAGAGGAACAUUCUGUGAUAAAGCGGAGCAAGGUCUAUAGAGCUUCUCAAGAGCUUUUCCAAGAGCUAGACAACCCAAGAAACAUUGUUCCAGG
This is a long non-coding RNA of Zalophus californianus (California sea lion), 477 nucleotides long. RefSeq lists it as uncharacterized. The record is from RefSeq and is a predicted model, not a curated record. The transcript has 4 exons. Lineage: Eukaryota; Metazoa; Chordata; Mammalia; Carnivora; Otariidae.